RNAcentral lists this unclassified non-coding RNA (315 nucleotides) under uncultured fungus. RNAcentral's name for it is "partial contains small subunit ribosomal RNA, internal transcribed spacer 1, and 5.8S ribosomal RNA". The stretch from base 1 to 73 matches the Rfam family "Eukaryotic small subunit ribosomal RNA", at positions 1759 to 1831 of the family's 1831-position model. Lineage: Eukaryota; Fungi. The record is from RNAcentral.
GCAAACUUGGUCAUUUAGAGGAAGUAAAAGUCGUAACAAGGUUUCCGUAGGUGAACCUGCGGAAGGAUCAUUAUUGAAUGAAUUUAGAGUUGGUUGUUGCUGGCUUUCGGGCAUGUGCACACCUUCUCUUUCAUCCACACACACCUGUGCACUUGUGAGACAGGAAGAGGGCCUUAAUUGGCUUUUUUUUUCCUGUCUACUUAAUUACACAAACUCAUUUAUUUUAAACCGAAUGUAAUUGAUGUAACACAUCAUAAUUAAAUACUAAGUUUCAACAACGGAUCUCUUGGCUCUCGCAUCGAUGAAGAACGCAGC